This is a long non-coding RNA of Humulus lupulus (European hop), 633 nucleotides long. RefSeq lists it as uncharacterized. Lineage: Eukaryota; Viridiplantae; Streptophyta; Magnoliopsida; Rosales; Cannabaceae. The transcript is spliced from 3 exons. The record is from RefSeq and is a predicted model, not a curated record.
ACCCUCACUAUAUUAUUUUUUUAGGAAAACUUUAUUUUCUUUAGAAAACCUUUGGCCUUGUAUGAUAACAAUUUUUUACUUUUAUGUUUUGCCUUUUAAAAAAAAAUAGAAAAAAAAAAGAAAGAAAUAUAUUUAAUUCAUAAAAAAAUAUCCAAGCAUGCCCAUGAAUGAGAUCUCUCUACAUUUUGGCAAUAUGCACUUUGCUUAGGGAAAAAAAAAGACUUUUGUGGCUGCUUAUUUCCUAUGCAAAAACUGUGAAGCUACACGGGAAAGGAGAACUUGAACCUUUGCUGGCAGAAAUCGAAAAUAAAAAGGCAUAAAGCUAGCUUGCUGAGCAAAUUUUUGUUUAAAGAUUUCAAUGGCCUUGCAAUAUGACUCCGAACUUGCACAUUUGUAGCUUUAUGUUUCAUAUAAGAACGCACUGGGUAAAUUGCUUCCAUGGCCACUACUUCAAGCCUUUUCACUUCCACUGCUUUCUGUUGUUAUUGUGCUGCUGCAAACUUAUGAAAUUCAAGAAAGAAGACAAGCAGCUUUAGGAAACUGAGGCAUUUAUGUGGAGAUCAACUUUCUUAAAAAUAGUGUUCAACUAGAAUUAAUCAAAAAUAGAUAUAGGAUUUCAGUUUACAAUGCUCG